CAUUCACAGUGGUGCAUCACAACUUCAGCAGUUCUGCCACAGAGCUUGUGGUGGUCAGUGGUGUGCCUGAGCCAGCUCAGGGAGGGUUGGAGUCUGGCUUGAGGAUUCUUCUGAAGCAGCUGACUAGCUGGCUUUUAUUGCAAGACAGAGAACACAAGAUCUCUUCAUUGAUCCUGCAAGGUGGCUGUAGUAUUUUGCCUUGAAAGACUGGAAGUUCCCUCCAUGAGAACCUGGGAGGACAAGGAUGGCCUCCUGUGCUGUUCUGCAGAGAGGAGCAGCCUUCGAUGGUGAGCAAAGAAGCAGUAGCGCAGUCCGCUCUCGGGAGCAGCACCUGGCUCUAGAAUGCUGCCAUGAAUGUCUUCAACUCGCUGCAUUGUAUGUAUUGAAGAGAUUGGAUAUGCUGCACUUGUUGAUCAUCCAUGAUGGACACAACAGCCUCUAUUUGUGUCCUGGAAGGGGCAGAGAGAAGAACUGGCACAGGCCCAGCCCUGGCAGCAGCACGAUCAUCUAGAAUGCCAGAAACCAGCUCUGCUCCUCCCUGCCACUGGAGCAGGCUUUGAAGGGGUUGAAAGAAGCAAGACCACGGUGCCUCCCUCAGCAGCACUCUCUCUGGCAGUCAGCUCCUGGUGUUCUGCAGGGCAGCCUUGGAAGUGAUGGGAAGAAUUCAUGUGGUCCAUGAUGAAGGAAAACCAGGUUCUGGCUGGUCCAGGCCUGUGCAUGUCGAUAGUUGGCAAUAAAUGUAAGUGCUGUUAUGAAUGUAACAACCAUUUUUGGGUUAUGCCUUUUGCACACAGUUAGUAUGCUGCUGUAUCGAGUGAGAUGGUGAACUAGUUCUCUGAAUGGCCACUGAUGCCAAACACAAAUUAUCACUUGUGUUUCUGGGUUGAGGGACACUUCACACCAUCACAGCCCGAUCUGCCAGCUGAUAGGCUAAGUGUCUGGUUGUUUCCGGCUGGUGGACUGCAUGGAGCCUCGGCCUACUUGUCAGUCUUGGGGAACACCACAGAGUGACGAUAGGUGGAAAUCAAAGUGUCCAGGGACAGACUCUCCAGUUGGAUUUGUGUGUCAAUGCUAUGGCACUUGAUCUACCCAGUACAUGCAGAAGUGGAGCCAGAUGAUUUAGUUUCCUAGCACUGGAAGCUUUGAUCCUAAGAUGCUGUUGCACCUCAGGAGCUAUCUGCACCUGAAUCGCCCAAGACAAAUGGAUGUCUGGUACCUGUCGGAUGAGGAGGCGGGCAGCGGUGAAGGGGGUGAUCAGGAUGGCAACCGCACUUGCUACGCCACAGCUCUUGGUGACUCUGCUUCUCUCUGCACAGGCCCUGCCCUCUUUGCCCACGCUGGUGCACUCUUUUCCUUCUGUCAUGGGGCUGCAGCUGGCCAGGGAAUUGGUACCAAAGGUUUGCCUCUCCCCGCCAGAUUUGUUGGAUGGGUGGCACGUUGUCCUCACCACCACCACCACAAACCAAUAAAUGCUAACCUGCAACUUCAGCCUGUUCAGUCUAGGCAGCUUGUUCAGCCAGCCCCUUGGACUCCCUCAGCCAGGAGUGAAGCAUAAGGCCACCCUGCUGCCAUCUGCCUUGACCCUCAUGCUGGGUCUCCCCCUCUUUGACUUUGAAGACUCCCUCUGAAGAAUAUGGCUACAAGCUCAUCUUUUUCCUCAAAGAAAAAUCUGUGUCUUCCAAAGCGAGACACUCUUUCUUAGUGAAAAAACUGCUCCGGCCCCUCUCUUUGGAUCCGGGAGCCCAGCUCUGUAAUUGGAUACCAGCGCAUGCCAAGAAAAAACUCAGCCAGUCAGAACAACUGGGGUAGUGGUGAGCACCAGCUCGCAGCUUACAGCAGGGGGCACAUCCAUGCAGCUUGGGAGGAACUUCAGUCGGACAAAGAAGCAGGCCAAGAACGGAGUGAGGCGGCGAAGGCAAAGUUCUGUCCCCAGGCUAACCAGCCAUGAGCUCAAACGGUUGCCAUUAUUGUGACCAGCCAGUUCACGGGAAACAAAGGAGAGGAAAAGGAGUGCCCAUGAUGUCCAUCAGCCAUGGGGCCUUGGCGCAGUGGCCAGCCGUGAUGAAAACUCCCAGGGCCCCAACAUGUUAACUCAGCUGAGCACUUUUGGAACUGGCUUCUUGUUGGUUGUCUGUGUCUUGUUCUGUAAAGGGAAAUGUUGUUGAUCCUCCAGUAAAUAUUGGCACAGUAUGUUUGACUGAAUGUUACUGACAAUGCAGUGAGAAAGGGCCAUAGUGCCUCACAGUCUCACAACCCGCCUCUGCGUAGGUUGAGCUCUUGUAUGUGAAAAUGUUUUUGUAAUGUGACAGCACUUCUGUAAACCUUUUGGGAAAGGACUUGCUCUGCAAAUUGAACACCAUUAUUCACAAUUAUCUGUGGACAUACCACAUAAUUGGGCUACUAAAUUAGUUAUGGCCUCAGCAACAGAAGGGGCUUCUCAGCAGUGCCUUGGGUGGCCAACUGAGGCACUGGAUGACGGGCCUCCUUCUUUGUGGGCCUCCCCUGAAGAAAAAGGGAGCGCUGCUUAUGGCUGGACCAGAUACAUUACCCCUAAGAAGGGCAAGCUCUACUUUUCCCCCUCAUGGUAUCAAAUUUAUUGUGGGGUUUCUGCAGCUGUCUUUGCGACUGCUAAUAUGAUUUUCCACCACAGUAUGGACGAUGUUUCUGAUAUUGCAUUUCUGUUUUGGUGCUACAUCCAGGAGGCCCACAGGUGGCAUCAGGCUGAGAGAACAGUGUGAACAACACAAUGCUCCACCCCUUGGGUUUCUAGUUGGGAGCUGUAAAGCCACAUGUCUUUGUCUAAGCCUCUCUAUGCUUUGCUUUCUGAGUCUGAGCAGAAAGAAGACGUGAUGGCAUCCCAGUCUUGGGAGCAGCAGGAUCAGCUAGACUGCUGGAAAGCUCCUCCCUGCUGGUGGUGAUGGUAAGGAUUUCUACAGGUAGUGUUGGGUCUUCACUGUUGUGACAUGAGCAUUGUAGACAUUUGUUUUGCAGGAGCAGGCUCUGAAGGUGUGGAAAGAAGCAGUACCAGGGUCUCAAUCAGUAGGGGCAUCUUCCCUGUGCCCGAUGUUGCAGAGGAGCAGCUGCAGAAGUGGCAGAAACGAUCGGUGCAGCCACAGCCUCAGCCUCAGGUGCAACACGAUUCUCGGACACAAGAAACCUCUGUGACUGGUGGCAGACAUGCUUGACGUUUGGAUCUUGUCACGAACCCAGCUCUGACCGAGAUGACUCACAGGCCAGUGUGGACGCCCUCAAAAACCCCUUGCCUGUGUUGUAGCUGGCUCUGUAUUGAGGCUUCUCUUCGCCUGCACUGUUGGCAGAAGCACCUUGCAGGAUGUCUUGCUUCCCAUUCCUGUCCCCUGCUCUUGGAUGUCUCCGCUCCUGACACUUGAACUCUGACUUUGCCUGCUUCAAAUGGACUGACACUUUCCUUCAGCCUCGCACCCCUCUUGCCCAGCCGGGACAGCCAGAAGACGGACACUGCUCAGCCUUGGCUCUGCUGCCUUGGUCAGCAUUGUGGUCUUCCUUUCCUGAGUACCUGAUAAUCUGCCUCUCCAGCCACUAACUACAUCAGUGUUGUCUUGGAGUCUCCUGUGAGAGGAGAGACGCUGUGCCCCUGGGGCUUAUAAAGAGGGAGGGUGUGCCCCCAAGAGGCACACUGGAUCUAGUCUUCCACCAAGUGAGACUACCUGUGACUCUAUCCAUCACCUGCCCUGCCUAGCAUCCCCCCCCCAUCUGAGGAAGCACCAGCUGCCACUGAGGGAUGGGCCUUGUCUGGGGCUACGCUGAGACUCUGGAAUCCAUUCCCUGCAGAAAUCAGAGCCUCCCCAUCUCAAACUACUUAAGACAUUGGACACAUUUCUUCACCCAAGCUUUUAAAGUAGAUGUGGCUUUAACUUCCUGGUCUUUGACUGUAAUAAAGAUGUGUAUCUGAAGGUUUUA
This is a long non-coding RNA of Hemicordylus capensis (graceful crag lizard), 3939 nucleotides long. RefSeq lists it as uncharacterized. The transcript is spliced from 7 exons. Lineage: Eukaryota; Metazoa; Chordata; Lepidosauria; Squamata; Cordylidae. The record is from RefSeq and is a predicted model, not a curated record.